This 429-nucleotide ribosomal RNA is filed under the name Chloroflexota bacterium. Its description in RNAcentral is "Chloroflexi bacterium partial 16S ribosomal RNA". It matches the Rfam family "Bacterial small subunit ribosomal RNA", at positions 355 to 776 of the family's 1533-position model. Lineage: Bacteria; Bacillati; Chloroflexota. The record is from RNAcentral.
UGGGGAAUAUUUCACAAUGGGCGCAAGCCUGAUGCAGCCAUGCCGCGUGUAUGAAGAAGGCCGUCGGGUUGUAAAGUACUUUCAGUCGGGAGGAAGGCGGUAAGGUUAAUAACCUUAUCAAUUGACGUUACCGACAGAAGAAGCACCGGCUAACUCCGUGCCAGCAGCCGCGGUAAUACGGAGGGUGCAAGCGUUAAUCGGAAUUACUGGGCGUAAAGCGCACGCAGGCGGUUGAUUGAGUCAGAUGUGAAAUCCCCGGGCUUAACCCGGGAAUUGCAUCUGAUACUGGUCAGCUAGAGUCUUGUAGAGGGGGGUAGAAUUCCAUGUGUAGCGGUGAAAUGCGUAGAGAUGUGGAGGAAUACCGGUGGCGAAGGCGGCCCCCUGGACAAAGACUGACGCUCAGGUGCGAAAGCGUGGGGAGCAAACAGG